AAGGGUAUAGCUUGGUGAUAGAGUGCAUGCCUAGCAUGCACAAGGUCCUGGGUUCAAUUCCCAGUACCUCUG
This 72-nucleotide transfer RNA is filed under the name Camelus bactrianus (Bactrian camel). It matches the Rfam family "tRNA". Rfam says of the family: Transfer RNA (tRNA) molecules are approximately 80 nucleotides in length. Their secondary structure includes four short double-helical elements and three loops (D, anti-codon, and T loops). Further hydrogen bonds mediate the characteristic L-shaped molecular structure. tRNAs have two regions of fundamental functional importance: the anti-codon, which is responsible for specific mRNA codon recognition, and the 3' end, to which the tRNAs corresponding amino acid is attached (by aminoacyl-tRNA synthetases). tRNAs cope with the degeneracy of the genetic code in two manners: having more than one tRNA (with a specific anti-codon) for a particular amino acid; and 'wobble' base-pairing, i.e. permitting non-standard base-pairing at the 3rd anti-codon position. The record is from Rfam by way of RNAcentral. Lineage: Eukaryota; Metazoa; Chordata; Mammalia; Artiodactyla; Camelidae. RNAcentral also lists the same sequence under 3 other names.